GAUCAUGGCUCAGGGUGAACGCUAGCUACAGGCUUAACACAUGCAAGUCGAGGGGCAGCAUUUUAGUUUGCUUGCAAACUAAAGAUGGCGACCGGCGCACGGGUGAGUAACACGUAUCCAACCUGCCGAUAACUCGGGGAUAGCCUUUCGAAAGAAAGAUUAAUAUCCGAUGGCAUAUCAGUCCCGCAUGAGAUUGAUAUUAAAGAAUUUCGGUUAUCGAUGGGGAUGCGUUCCAUUAG
This 239-nucleotide ribosomal RNA is filed under the name uncultured bacterium. RNAcentral describes it as "partial 16S ribosomal RNA". It matches the Rfam family "Bacterial small subunit ribosomal RNA", at positions 15 to 244 of the family's 1533-position model. The record is from RNAcentral.